RNAcentral lists this ribosomal RNA (465 nucleotides) under uncultured bacterium. RNAcentral describes it as "partial 16S ribosomal RNA". It matches the Rfam family "Bacterial small subunit ribosomal RNA", at positions 28 to 507 of the family's 1533-position model. The record is from RNAcentral.
GACGAACGCUGGCGGCGUGCUUAACACAUGCAAGUCGAACGGAAAGGCCCCUUUGGGGGUACUCGAGUGGCGAACGGGUGAGUAACACGUGAGUAACCUGCCCUUGACUUCGGGAUAACUUCAGGAAACUGGGGCUAAUACCGGAUAGGAAUCCUUGCUGCAUGGUGGGGGUUGGAAAGCUUCGGCGGUUUUGGAUGGACUCGCGGCUUAUCAGCUUGUUGGUGGGGUAGUGGCUUACCAAGGCUUUGACGGGUAGCCGGCCUGAGAGGGUGACCGGCCACAUUGGGACUGAGAUACGGCCCAGACUCCUACGGGAGGCAGCAGGGGGGAAUAUUGAACAAGGGGCGGAAGCCUGAUGCAGCAACGCCGCGUGCGGGAUGACGGCCUUCGGGUUGUAAACCGCUUUCAGCAGGGGCGAAGCUUGUGGUGACGGUACCUGCAGAAGAAGCACCGGCUAACUACGUG